Molecule: ribosomal RNA, 459 nt
Filed under: uncultured bacterium
Lineage: Bacteria
Description: partial 16S ribosomal RNA
Rfam family: Bacterial small subunit ribosomal RNA
Source: RNAcentral
CCUACGGGGUGCAGCAGUGAGGAAUAUUGGUCAAUGGGCGCGAGCCUGAACCAGCCAAGCCGCGUGAGGGAAGACGGUCCUAUGGAUUGUAAACCUCUUUUGUCGGGGAGCAAAAGACGCCACGCGUGGCGUUCCGAGAGUACCCGAAGAAAAAGCAUCGGCUAACUCCGUGCCAGCAGCCGCGGUUAUACGGAGGAUGCGAGCGUUAUCCGGAUUUAUUGGGUUUCAAGGGUGCGCAGGCGGAAGAUCAAGUCAGCGGUAAAAUUGAGGGGCUCAACCUCUGCGAGCCGUUGAAACUGGUUGUCUUGAGUUGGUGAGAGGUAUGCGGAAUGCGGGGUGUAGCGGUGAAAUGCAUAGAUAUCACGCAGAACUCCGAUUGCGAAGGCAGCAUACCGGCGCUCAACUGACGCUCAGGCACGAAAGUGUGGGUAUCGAACAGGAUUAGAUACCCCGGUAGUC